Microcebus murinus (gray mouse lemur) is the source of this 1522-nucleotide non-coding RNA. Lineage: Eukaryota; Metazoa; Chordata; Mammalia; Primates; Cheirogaleidae. The record is from RefSeq and is a predicted model, not a curated record.
UAUCAUACAUUCCAAAAGAAUCACCAAAAUGACCUAUAUCUAAUAUAAGGAAAAAAAAUGAAAUGAACACAAUUUAUAAUUAAAUAAUAUUAUUUAUUUCAAUAUGUAAAUGCUUGGGUACAAUUACAACAGAAGAUUAAAAGGUCCCCACACAUUUCCAAAAUACCCCUAGAAGGCAGGGCCACCCACCAAGGAGCAGCUGAGGGCUAGACUCGGGGACAGGGUCACGAUUGGGCCUUGGGGACCACAUGACUAGGAGCAGCACCUCUGGGAGGCACAGGAGGCUCUGGCGGAUAAUUAGCCAAGCCAGAAAGAGGAGCUCCUGCCAACAUCUGUACCACACAAUGAAAAACCUCCUGGCAAGAGGAAGUAAAGAGGUAAAGACUCGAAAGUCUGAAUUCAGUUGACAACGGAUGCCCUUAGGAGCUGCAGCUGCUGGACACCCACCUGACACCCACCUCCCUCCCCGACAGGUAGAGGGCACAGACCCUGCCGUGAGCCACACGGCGCGUCCGGCAACACCCUGCUCCAGCUAGGUGCUGAGUCAGUCACCUGCAGGGACUGCCAAGUAGGUGUGGGGUUUCCAACAUAGAAGGAACAGCAGAGCUGGGGAAAACCACCUCUGGCCAAACCUCCCUGAAAAGAUUUAACGGCAUAGAGGUGUGGGAUUUUGUCCCGGUUUCACUCUGCCAGGUUCUACUGCUUCCCAAUCUGUGGCCCAGGGGCACCCUCUCACCCUGUAGCGGCGGUCUUGUACUUGCUUCCCCUUUAUACCUGCCUGCUCUCUGUUUACCUGUUUUUCAUGAGGACCACACAGGCCCGGGCAGAGCAGGAGGUGGGUGGCUCCACGCCAUGCCCUCCAAGACAACGCCGGGCUCAACAGGGCUCGGGCAGCACCCUCUGCAGUGAGCAGGCUUCUGACUGUCGGCACGACGCCACUUUACCAGAAUAGAAACGAGCGUCUGGAUCAGGGCGUAUUUCUUUCUCAUUGUUCUUUCUUUCCCUUGGUUCUAGUGGUAGAAACAAUUCCUGGAACAGCAUCUUUCUGCUUUAAAAUAUCAAUUAAUUUAAAAAAAAAUGGGUCUUGAGACACAUUGCCCCUGAAUAUCUGGCCCAAUGGGUUUAUUUAUUGUGAUGGACUGAACUGCCCCACCACAAACUCGCAUGCUAAAGUUCUGAUCCCCGGUAUCUCAGAAUGUGAUCUAAUUUAGAAAUAGCGUCCUGGCAGGUGCGAUCAGUUAAGGCGAGGUCGUACUGGGGCAGGGCGGGCCCUAAUUAAACAUGACUAGAAUCCUCUCAAGGAAAGGAUUUGGACGCAGACCCACCACCUGCAGAUGAAGGCAGGGAUCGAGGUGAUGCUCCUACAACCCAAGGAACACCAAAGACCCCAGCCACCGCCGGAAGCUGGGAGAGAGGAGGGACACAUUCUCCCCCACAGCCUCCGAAGGAACCAGCCAUCACUUCGGUCCCGGCCUUCUAACCUCUAGAGUUGUGGGGAAAUAAAUGCCUGUUGUGUAAGUCA